RNAcentral lists this ribosomal RNA (816 nucleotides) under Triticum aestivum (bread wheat). RNAcentral's name for it is "partial small subunit ribosomal RNA". The record is from RNAcentral. Lineage: Eukaryota; Viridiplantae; Streptophyta; Magnoliopsida; Poales; Poaceae.
AUGGAGCAAUUGGAGAAGAGGAUGGAUGUUGCAAAACAACAAAUCAAAGAGCUGCGUGAAGAUCUUAAUCGGAGAUUUGGUCGGCUGGUUGAGAUGAUAAGAAAGGGUGUCCCCCCUGCUGCCAAUGAGGGAGAUUCAUCUAAAGAAGAUGUUCAACAAAGAAGGAGAGGUAAUCUUGGAGCAAGACCGCCACAACAACGUGCUGUUCAACGUGCUUCAAGAAGGCCAAUUUAUGUUGAAGCUUCUGAAGGUGAAGAAUAUGACGAUGCCCUUGAAGAAGCAGAUCUCUACGCAUAUCGGAGAGCACCCAACCCUACAUAUGCAAGAGAUACAUACAAGGUGAAAGCUGAGAUCCCAAGUUUUAAUGGAAAUGUUGACAUUGAAGGGUGCCUGGAUUGGUUAUAUGAAGUGGAGACUUUCUUUGAGGUCAUGGAGGUUCCGGAAGAUCGUAGAGUUCCUUUGGUCGCAUACAAACUGAAAGGAGGAGCCGGUGCAUGGUGGCAUCGCGUUCAAGAGGAGCGCAGGCUGAGAGGAGAACCUCGUGUUAGAACUUGGCGACAAAUGAAAGGCCUCUUGAAAGGGAGAUUUUUGCCUGCUGAUUAUGACCAGAUCCUAUUUAUCCAAUUUCAAAAUUGUGCUCAAGGAAAUAGGACUGUUUCAGAUUACAUGGAGGAGUUUCUAAGGCUACAAGUGAGGUGCAACCUUGCUGAAACUGAAGAGCAACAAGUUGCAAGGUACAUCAAUGGUCUCAAUGAUGCUAUUCAAGAUCGAUUGAUGAUGCAACAAAUCUGGUCCGUUGAUCAAGCACAGCUCUAG